This is a long non-coding RNA of Homo sapiens (human), 832 nucleotides long. Lineage: Eukaryota; Metazoa; Chordata; Mammalia; Primates; Hominidae. The record is from Ensembl.
AGGUGCUCAGGAUCCAGGGAGAGAGGCAGACUCAACAUGCAAACAACUCUUCUAUGAGGGUAAGUGUAAUUGAGGGCCCUAGGAGAACUUUAGUAGUGGAGGGUUUCUUGUGUUUCUCCCUUUGGACUGCCUAACUCAAGCAGUGUUCUUGACCCAUAUAAGCUAUGUAGUGUUUCCCCUCUCUUAUCUACUGUACUAAUUUCUGUGUCUCUCUUGGAAAUUACUGCCCUGAUCUCGAAACUUAACUUCACCCAUUGCUUGGUGAGUGGUGUGGAAAACUUCUCUCGGGUCUAUGUCUUAUCCCUGAAAAAUCUUGCCACAGCUGCUCAGGAAGAGUGUACAAACUCAUUUCCCCAACAUGAAAGUCACAAAAAUUUUGAAAAAGUUUUCCCUAAAAUUGCUGUGAGAAGGUCUUGCUGAUUAUUUUUGUUCUCAAUUAUAUAUUCUUUGGGGGGAAAGCCUGUAGCUUGCUCACUCAUGGGACAGAUCUUUCGUGGGUUACAUGAAGAGCAGAUCUGUGAAUGUUGUCAUCCCCUGCUUGUUCCUGCUUUCUUGUGGUUACCAUCUUUGUCUUUAACCUUUAGUUUUUGGCUGAGUGAAAAAUUUCCAGACUCCUGAAAUCACCACAAUCAGAUACAGGAGACAUAGUAGAGCUCACUUGUAGAAAGUGUCUUUUUUCUGGUACAGAGAAGAAUGGUUUAGAGACACCCUUCUCUAGUAUAUGCCAUAAAAUAGCCUAUCUAAACCUUGGAAUAUUAUUGUGUUAAAGUACAUGUAGCAUGUGUAGCAUGUUUAAAUGUCCUUUUAUGAAGAAUUUAAAGCAAAAAGGAAA